GUCUCACUUUGUAGACCAGGUUGACCUGGAACUCACAGAGAUCCACCUGCCUCUGCCUCCUGAGUGCUGGGAU
RNAcentral lists this microRNA precursor (73 nucleotides) under Mesocricetus auratus (golden hamster). RNAcentral describes it as "miRNA (ENSMAUG00000003021.1)". Lineage: Eukaryota; Metazoa; Chordata; Mammalia; Rodentia; Cricetidae. The record is from RNAcentral.